RNAcentral lists this ribosomal RNA (281 nucleotides) under uncultured bacterium. RNAcentral's name for it is "partial 16S ribosomal RNA". It matches the Rfam family "Bacterial small subunit ribosomal RNA", at positions 77 to 354 of the family's 1533-position model. The record is from RNAcentral.
CAAUACUCCCGCCGGCGACCGGCGCACGGGUGAGUAACACGUAUGAAACCUGCCCGUAGCAGGGGGAUAAGCGGAAGAAAUUCCGUCUAAUACCGCGUAACAACCCGAGGAGGCAUCUCCUCGGGUUUAAAGGAAGCGAUUCCGGCUACGGAUGGUCAUGCGUCGCAUUAGCUAGUUGGCGGGGUAACGGCCUACCAAGCCGACGAUGCGUAGGGGUUCUGAGAGGAAGGUCCCCCACAUUGGAACUGAGACACGGUCCAAACUCCUACGGAAGGCAGCAG